GACGAACGCUGGCGGCGUGCUUAACACAUGCAAGUCGAACGAAGAGCGAUGGAAGCUUGCUUCUAUCAAUCUUAGUGGCGAACGGGUGAGUAACGCGUAAUCAACCUGCCCUUCAGAGGGGGACAACAGUUGGAAACGACUGCUAAUACCGCAUACGAUCUAAUCUCGGCAUCGAGGAUAGAUGAAAGGUGGCCUCUACAUGUAAGCUAUCACUGAAGGAGGGGAUUGCGUCUGAUUAGCUAGUUGGAGGGGUAACGGCCCACCAAGGCGAUGAUCAGUAGCCGGUCUGAGAGGAUGAACGGCCACAUUGGGACUGAGACACGGCCCAGACUCCUACGGGAGGCAGCAGUGGGGAAUCUUCCGCAAUGGACGAAAGUCUGACGGAGCAACGCCGCGUGAGUGAUGACGGCCUUCGGGUUGUAAAGCUCUGUUAAUCGGAACGAAAGGCCUUCUUGCGAAUAGUGAGAAGGAUUGACGGUACCGGAAUAGAAAGCCACGGCUAACUACGUG
RNAcentral lists this ribosomal RNA (510 nucleotides) under uncultured bacterium. RNAcentral describes it as "partial 16S ribosomal RNA". It matches the Rfam family "Bacterial small subunit ribosomal RNA", at positions 28 to 507 of the family's 1533-position model. The record is from RNAcentral.